This 1005-nucleotide ribosomal RNA is filed under the name Bacillus stratosphericus. RNAcentral describes it as "bacterial SSU rRNA". It matches the Rfam family "Bacterial small subunit ribosomal RNA", at positions 41 to 1034 of the family's 1533-position model. The record is from RNAcentral. Lineage: Bacteria; Bacillati; Bacillota; Bacilli; Caryophanales; Bacillaceae.
GGCGUCCUAUACUUGCAAGUCGAGCGGACAGAAGGGAGCUUGCUUCCGGAUGUAGCGGCGGACGGGUGAGUAACACGUGGGUAACCUGCCUGUAAGACUGGGAUAACUCCGGGAAACCGGAGCUAAUACCGGAUAGUUCCCUGAACCGCAUGGUUCAAGGAUGAAAGACGGUUUCGGCUGUCACUUACAGAUGGACCCGCGGCGCAUAGCUAGUUGGUGAGGUAACGGCUCACCAAGGCGACGAUGCGUAGCCGACCUGAGAGGGUGAUCGGCCACACUGGGACUGAGACACGGCCCAGACUCCUACGGGAGGCAGCAGUAGGGAAUCUUCCGCAAUGGACGAAAGUCUGACGGAGCAACGCCGCGUGAGUGAUGAAGGUUUCGGAUCGUAAAGCUCUGUUGUUAGGGAAGAACAAGUGCAAGAGUAACUGCUUGCACCUUGACGGUACCUAACCAGAAAGCCACGGCUAACUACGUGCCAGCAGCCGCGGUAAUACGUAGGUGGCAGCGUUGUCCGGAAUUAUUGGGCGUAAAGGGCUCGCAGGCGGUUUCUUAAGUCUGAUGUGAAAGCCCCCGGCUCAACCGGGGAGGGUCAUUGGAAACUGGGAAACUUGAGUGCAGAAGAGGAGAGUGGAAUUCCACGUGUAGCGGUGAAAUGCGUAGAGAUGUGGAGGAACACCAGUGGCGAAGGCGACUCUCUGGUCUGUAACUGACGCUGAGGAGCGAAAGCGUGGGGAGCGAACAGGAUUAGAUACCCUGGUAGUCCACGCCGUAAACGAUGAGUGCUAAGUGUUAGGGGGUUUCCGCCCCUUAGUGCUGCAGCUAACGCAUUAAGCACUCCGCCUGGGGAGUACGGUCGCAAGACUGAAACUCAAAGGAAUUGACGGGGGCCCGCACAAGCGGUGGAGCAUGUGGUUUAAUUCGAAGCAACGCGAAGAACCUUACCAGGUCUUGACAUCCUCUGACAACCCUAGAGAUAGGGCUUUCCCUUCGGGGACAGAGUGA